This 28-nucleotide non-coding RNA is filed under the name Rattus norvegicus (Norway rat). The record is from RNAcentral. Lineage: Eukaryota; Metazoa; Chordata; Mammalia; Rodentia; Muridae.
UGGUAAGGAUGUUAGAAGCUCCCUAGGC